CCUGAGAAACCCAAAAGAUCGAAUGGGGAGACUCAACGAUUGCGAUCCUGGCGCUCGUGCGGUUCGCGAUGCUGCGCGACCUCGGUUGCGCGGCACGCGUCCGUAUGUUCAUUCGCCGGGUGUCGCCGUCGUGCACUUCUCCCCUAGUAGGACGUCGCGACCCGUUGGGUGUCGGUCUACGGCCCGGGUGGGAGACUGUCGUUUGUUACGCUUCGCGGCGUCAUGCGGCAGACCCCCGGUCGCCCGACCAGCUGCCCGGCGGUACUCGCACGGUAUCGGGCCGCAAAUAUUCGAACUGCGUCGGGCCCGUCGCAAGCUUGGCCAGUGAUCAACCCGGAUGUACGGACCUAGCGCCGUCGCCGGGCCUGGCCGGCUGUUGGCUGACGGUGUCACUAAGACAGGCUCAUUCGA
Molecule: ribosomal RNA, 411 nt
Filed under: Cremastinae gen. sp.
Lineage: Eukaryota; Metazoa; Arthropoda; Insecta; Hymenoptera; Ichneumonidae
Also listed under: 1 other name
Description: eukaryotic LSU rRNA
Source: RNAcentral